CUCUAAUAAUUCCUGGGGAUUUUAAUUUGGGGAUCAGAUGUUUCAUGCGCACGGGCGCUGAGAAUGAGAUCCCGACCCUGACUGUGAGGAGGAGCAUGCGAUCCCGGGGUGGUAAGAUUCCGCCAGGUGCGUGCAGGCGGGAGUGUAGAUGCUGCUCAGUGCUGAAUGUCUGAGCUACGCUGGAUGGGUAAUUAUUGCUGUGGCAGAUGCCGGCACAAGAUGCUUUUAUGUCGUUUUAUUUUUUAUGUUUAUGUUCUGUUAUAAUGAUGAAAAUAAUAAUUACACUCAGCUUAUGUAUUUACAUACCGCUGACUCCUGCCAGGCUCAUGGUUUAUGUUAAUGUUUUGAGAUGAAGUCACUCAGGCUGUAAGUAUGAACAGGUUAAUUGCUUUGUGCUUUUUUCACAGUUGUCAAUCAAAUUUUGGUUAAUUUAUAUUGCACAUUUCAUACAGGAACUUACACAAGCAGUGUAGAUAUUAACAUACUGAAAAAUAAAUAAUAAUUAUGAAAAAUAAAAAGCAACCACAGCUGUCCUGAUAGCAGCCAUUGUAAAGCUGGCUGGUUGCCAGAAACAUAUGCAAAAUCCUCAUCAUCCUCAAAAACUCUGGCCCAAUUGAAAAAUAAUUUUUAAAAGUAUUUAAAAAAAAAAAAAACCAAAACAAUAUACUGUCCUUUUAAGUACUCUAAUCUGUCCAAAGGCUUAAGCUCCGGCAGAUUUGCUUAUUUUGAGAAUUCCCUUUGAAUUACCCUCCCUUUCUGGAAGUGAUGAGACACGAGACAUUAAGAUUGUUUUCUUU
Long non-coding RNA from Anguilla anguilla (European eel), 797 nucleotides. RefSeq lists it as uncharacterized. The record is from RefSeq and is a predicted model, not a curated record. NCBI's taxonomy places the organism in Eukaryota, Metazoa, Chordata, Actinopteri, Anguilliformes, Anguillidae. The transcript is spliced from 2 exons.